AAUAAAGCUACUAAGGGCACACGGUGGAUACCUUGGCAGUCAGAGGCGAAGAAGGACGUAGAUAACCUGCGAUAAGCUUCGGGUAGUCGGUAAUCAGACAUUUAUCCGGAGAUCUCCGAAUGAGGCAACUCCGCCUAGUGAAAGCUAGGUGACUCUUGCGUAAGAAACUAGCGCAAGUAGAGCUAACGUGGGGAACUGAAACAUCUAAGUACCCACCGGAAUAGAAAUCAAUUGAGAUACUGCAAGUAGCGGCGAGCGAACGCAGUCUAGCCCAAACCAAAGUGCGUGCACUCUGGGGUUGUAGGACCUGCAUCAAGUGGAGAACGAUAGGAGAAGUGUCUGGGAAGGCACGCCAUAGCGGGUGAAAGCCCCUUAUCCGAAAUUGUUCAAAGCGGGCGGGUAUCCUGAGUAAGACGGGGCACGUGAAACCCUGUCUGAAUCUGGGGGGACCACCCUCCAAGGCUAAAUACUACUGACUGACCGAUAGUGUACUAGUACCGCGAGGGAAAGGUGAAAAGAACCCCGAUGAGGGGAGUGAAAUAGAACUUGAAACCGUGUGCUUACAGACAGUCAGAGGGCUAUUGUAAAGCCUGAUGGCGUACCUUUUGCAUUAUGAUUCAGCGAGUUAUGGUAUGUGGCGAGAUUAAGCCGUUGCAGGUGUAGUCGUAGGGAAACCGAGUCUGAAUAGGGCGUUAGUCGCAUGCUGUAGACCCGAAACGGGAUGAGCUAUCCAUGGGCAGGUUGAAGCGGGGGUAAAACCUCGUGGAGGACCGAACCGGUGACGGUUGAAAACGUCUCGGAUGACUUGUGGAUAGGGGUGAAAGGCCAAUCAAAUUCCGUGAUAGCUGGUUCUCUCCGAAAUGCAUUUAGGUGCAGCGUCAGUUGUUUACCAACGGGGGUACAGCACUCACUUGGCUAGGGGUAUUACCGUACUACCAAACCAUAUGAAACUCUGAAUACCGUUGAGUACAGACUGGCAGUGAGUCUACGGAUGCUAAGGUCCGUGGACAAAAGGGAAAGAGCCCAGACCAUCAGCUAAGGUCCCUAAAUUGACACUAAGUGGGGAAGGUUGUGGAACUACUGUGACAUCCAGGAGGUUGGCUUAGAAGCAGCCAUCCUUUAAAGAAAGCGUAAUAGCUCACUGGACUAGUGGUUCUGCGCCGAAAAUGUAACGGGGCUCAAGUGUCGUACCGAAGCUAUGGACAAUUUAUUGUGGUAGGAGAGCAUUGUGCGUGCUGAUGAAGGCAUACCGUGAGGAGUGCUGGAGGUCCCACAAGAGCUGAUGCUGAAAUGAGUAGCGAUAAGGAGGGCGAGAAUCCCUCCCGCCGUAAAUCCAAGGGUUCCUGGGCCAGGUAAAUCCUCCCAGGGUAAGCCGGAACCUAAGGCGAGGCCGAAAGGCGUAGUCGAUGGACAACAGGUUAAUAUUCCUGUGCUUGGUACAAAACGUUUGACCGAAGGAGUGACGGAGAAAGGUAGUGGAUCUGGAGAUUGGUUGUUCCAGUGUAAGGGUGUAGAUGGGCUCGGUAGGCAAAUCCGCUGAGCUAUUAAACAUUGAGGCCUGAUGCCGAUGCGCAAGCAGAAGUCCAUGACCCUCAGCUUCCAAGAAAAGCUUCGUAGGGAGUUUUGUAUUAAUCCGUACCGUAAACCGACACAGGUGGAUGAGGAGAAAAUCCUAAGGCGCUUGGAAGAACUCUAGCUAAGGAACUCUGCAAAUUAGUACUGUAACUUCGGGAGAAGGUACGCCCUUACACGUGAAGUCACUUGCUGACGUAGCGUUUGAGGGUCGCAGUGAAACGGGGGUAGCGACUGUUUAUCAAAAACACAGGUCUAUGCAAACACGCAAGUGGAAGUAUAUGGGCUGACGCCUGCCCGGUGCUGGAAGGUUAAAAGGUGAGGUUAGACGCAAGUCGAAGCUUUAAAUUGAAGCCCCAGUAAACGGCGGCCGUAACUAUAACGGUCCUAAGGUAGCGAAAUUCCUAGUCGGGUAAGUUCCGA
This 1995-nucleotide ribosomal RNA is filed under the name Microbacteriaceae bacterium. RNAcentral's name for it is "partial 23S ribosomal RNA". It matches the Rfam family "Bacterial large subunit ribosomal RNA", at positions 1 to 1986 of the family's 2925-position model. Lineage: Bacteria; Bacillati; Actinomycetota; Actinomycetes; Micrococcales; Microbacteriaceae. The record is from RNAcentral.